CCUACGGGUGGCAGCAGUGAGGAAUAUUGGGCAAUGGGCGCAAGCCUGACCCAACAACGCCGCGUGAAGGAAGAAGGCUUUCGGGUUGUAAACUUCUUUUCUCAGGGACGAAGAAAGUGACGGUACCUGAGGAAUAAGCCACGGCUAACUACGUGCCAGCAGCCGCGGUAAUACGUAGGUGGCAAGCGUUAUCCGGAUUUAUUGGGUGUAAAGGGCGUGUAGGCGGGAGCGCAAGUCAGAUGUGAAAACUCAGGGCUCAACCCUGAGCCUGCAUUUGAAACUGUGUUUCUUGAGUGCUGGAGAGGCAAUCGGAAUUCCGUGUGUAGCGGUGAAAUGCGUAGAUAUACGGAGGAACACCAGUGGCGAAGGCGGAUUGCUGGACAGCAACUGACGCUGAGGCGCGAAAGCGUGGGGAGCAAACAGGAUUAGAUACCCCAGUAGUC
Molecule: ribosomal RNA, 443 nt
Filed under: uncultured bacterium
Lineage: Bacteria
Description: partial 16S ribosomal RNA
Rfam family: Bacterial small subunit ribosomal RNA
Source: RNAcentral